GACGAACGCUGGCGGCGUGCUUAACACAUGCAAGUCGAACGGUGAACGAGGGAGCUUGCUCCCUCCGGAUCAGUGGCGAACGGGUGAGUAACACGUGAGCAAUCUGCCCCGAACUCUGGGAUAAGCGUUGGAAACGACGUCUAAUACCGGAUACGACGCGGGUGGGCAUUCUCUCUGCGUGGAAAGAACUUCGGUUCGGGAUGAGCUCGCGGCCUAUCAGCUUGUUGGUGAGGUAACGGCUCACCAAGGCGACGACGGGUAGCCGGCCUGAGAGGGUGACCGGCCACACUGGGACUGAGACACGGCCCAGACUCCUACGGGAGGCAGCAGUGGGGAAUAUUGCACAAUGGGCGCAAGCCUGAUGCAGCAACGCCGCGUGAGGGACGACGGCCUUCGGGUUGUAAACCUCUUUUAGCAGGGAAGAAGCGAAAGUGACGGUACUUGCAGAAAAAGCACCGGCUAACUACGUG
RNAcentral lists this ribosomal RNA (470 nucleotides) under uncultured bacterium. RNAcentral's name for it is "partial 16S ribosomal RNA". It matches the Rfam family "Bacterial small subunit ribosomal RNA", at positions 28 to 507 of the family's 1533-position model. The record is from RNAcentral.